Long non-coding RNA from Oncorhynchus keta (chum salmon), 854 nucleotides. RefSeq lists it as uncharacterized. The record is from RefSeq and is a predicted model, not a curated record. Lineage: Eukaryota; Metazoa; Chordata; Actinopteri; Salmoniformes; Salmonidae. The transcript has 5 exons.
GAACACUUAACAUUUUAUUGUCAAUCAAUUGUGGUUUUUGCUUACGACCCAACCCCCUGAGACACACACAUACACUGUUCACACAUUGAAGGGGUUGAAUGAAAGUGGGAGUAUUAUGAGAUAAGAUGUGAACAUACAAUUUGAAGGAGUAUUUCUUGAAUCUUCCGGGGAGGUUCGUAGGUCUUGUAUUUAGCUAGUACAGGAGUCAGGAGGUUCGUAGGUCUUGUAUUUAGCUAGUACAGGAGUCAGGAGGUUCGUAGGUCUUGUAUUUAGCUAGUACAGGAGUCAGGAGGUUCGUAGGUCUUGUAUUUAGCUAGUACAGGAGUCAGGAGGUUCGUAGGUCUUGUAUUUAGCUAGUACAGGAGUCAGGAGGUUCGUAGGUCUUGUAUUUAGCUAGUACAGGAGUCAGGAGGUUCGUAGGUCUUGUAUUUAGCUAGUACAGGAGUCAGGAGGUUCGUAGGUCUUGUAUUUAGCUAGUACAGGAGUCAGGAGGUUUCGUAGGUCUUGUAUUUAGCUAGUACAGGAGUCAGGAGGUUCGUAGGUCUUGUAUUUAGCUAGUACAGGAGUCAGGAGGUUCGUAGGUCUUGUAUUUAGCUAGUACAGGAGUCAGGAGGUUCGUAGGUCUUGUAUUUAGCUAGUACAGGAGUCAGGAGGUUCGUAGGUCUUGUAUUUAGCUAGUACAGGAGUCAGGAGGUUCGUAGGUCUUGUAUUUAGCUAGUACAGGAGUCAGGAGGUUCGUAGGUCUUGUAUUUAGCUAGUACAGGAGUCAGGAGGUUCGUUUUCACAAGUACGCUUUGUUUCUCAAACUUGAUUGGUUGAUUGGUUGGCUGAUUGAUUGACAUUUUCAGAUAAUU